CCUGAACGCUGGCGGCGUGGCUAAGACAUGCAAGUCGAGCGGUAAGGCCCUUUCGGGGGUACACGAGCGGCGAACGGGUGAGUAACACGUGGGUGACCUGCCCUCAGCUCUGGGAUAAGCCUGGGAAACCGGGUCUAAUACCGGAUAUGACUCCAUGACGCAUGUUGUGGGGUGGAAAGCCUUGUGCGGCUGAGGAUGGGCCCGCGGCCUAUCAGCUUGUUGGUGGGGUGAGGCCUACCAAGGCGACGACGGGUAGCCGGCCUGAGAGGGCGACCGGCCACACUGGGACUGAGACACGGCCCAGACUCCUACGGGAGGCAGCAGUGGGGAAUCUUGCGCAAUGGGCGAAAGCCUGACGCAGCGACGCCGCGUGAGGGAUGACGGCCUCGGUGUAA
Molecule: ribosomal RNA, 395 nt
Filed under: uncultured bacterium
Lineage: Bacteria
Description: bacterial SSU rRNA
Rfam family: Bacterial small subunit ribosomal RNA
Source: RNAcentral